Molecule: ribosomal RNA, 253 nt
Filed under: uncultured bacterium
Lineage: Bacteria
Description: partial 16S ribosomal RNA
Rfam family: Bacterial small subunit ribosomal RNA
Source: RNAcentral
UACGGGGGGGGCAAGCGUUGUUCGGAAUUACUGGGCGUAAAGGGCUCGUAGGUGGCCAACUAAGUCAGACGUGAAAUCCCUCGGCUUAACCGGGGAACUGCGUCUGAUACUGGAUGGCUUGAGGUUGGGAGAGGGAUGCGGAAUUCCAGGUGUAGCGGUGAAAUGCGUAGAUAUCUGGAGGAAUACCGGUGGCGAAGGCGGCAUCCUGGACCGACAUUGACGCUGAGGAGCGAAAGCUAGGGGAGCAAACGGG